RNAcentral lists this ribosomal RNA (1402 nucleotides) under Streptococcus thermophilus. RNAcentral describes it as "bacterial SSU rRNA". It matches the Rfam family "Bacterial small subunit ribosomal RNA". Lineage: Bacteria; Bacillati; Bacillota; Bacilli; Lactobacillales; Streptococcaceae. The record is from RNAcentral.
UGCAAGUAGAACGCUGAAGAGAGGAGCUUGCUCUUCUUGGAUGAGUUGCGAACGGGUGAGUAACGCGUAGGUAACCUGCCUUGUAGCGGGGGAUAACUAUUGGAAACGAUAGCUAAUACCGCAUAACAAUGGAUGACACAUGUCAUUUAUUUGAAAGGGGCAAUUGCUCCACUACAAGAUGGACCUGCGUUGUAUUAGCUAGUAGGUGAGGUAAUGGCUCACCUAGGCGACGAUACAUAGCCGACCUGAGAGGGUGAUCGGCCACACUGGGACUGAGACACGGCCCAGACUCCUACGGGAGGCAGCAGUAGGGAAUCUUCGGCAAUGGGGGCAACCCUGACCGAGCAACGCCGCGUGAGUGAAGAAGGUUUUCGGAUCGUAAAGCUCUGUUGUAAGUCAAGAACGGGUGUGAGAGUGGAAAGUUCACACUGUGACGGUAGCUUACCAGAAAGGGACGGCUAACUACGUGCCAGCAGCCGCGGUAAUACGUAGGUCCCGAGCGUUGUCCGGAUUUAUUGGGCGUAAAGCGAGCGCAGGCGGUUUGAUAAGUCUGAAGUUAAAGGCUGUGGCUCAACCAUAGUUCGCUUUGGAAACUGUCAAACUUGAGUGCAGAAGGGGAGAGUGGAAUUCCAUGUGUAGCGGUGAAAUGCGUAGAUAUAUGGAGGAACACCGGUGGCGAAAGCGGCUCUCUGGUCUGUAACUGACGCUGAGGCUCGAAAGCGUGGGGAGCGAACAGGAUUAGAUACCCUGGUAGUCCACGCCGUAAACGAUGAGUGCUAGGUGUUGGAUCCUUUCCGGGAUUCAGUGCCGCAGCUAACGCAUUAAGCACUCCGCCUGGGGAGUACGACCGCAAGGUUGAAACUCAAAGGAAUUGACGGGGGCCCGCACAAGCGGUGGAGCAUGUGGUUUAAUUCGAAGCAACGCGAAGAACCUUACCAGGUCUUGACAUCCCGAUGCUAUUUCUAGAGAUAGAAAGUUACUUCGGUACAUCGGUGACAGGUGGUGCAUGGUUGUCGUCAGCUCGUGUCGUGAGAUGUUGGGUUAAGUCCCGCAACGAGCGCAACCCCUAUUGUUAGUUGCCAUCAUUCAGUUGGGCACUCUAGCGAGACUGCCGGUAAUAAACCGGAGGAAGGUGGGGAUGACGUCAAAUCAUCAUGCCCCUUAUGACCUGGGCUACACACGUGCUACAAUGGUUGGUACAACGAGUUGCGAGUCGGUGACGGCGAGCUAAUCUCUUAAAGCCAAUCUCAGUUCGGAUUGUAGGCUGCAACUCGCCUACAUGAAGUCGGAAUCGCUAGUAAUCGCGGAUCAGCACGCCGCGGUGAAUACGUUCCCGGGCCUUGUACACACCGCCCGUCACACCACGAGAGUUUGUAACACCCGAAGUCGGUGAGGUAACCUU